This 69-nucleotide transfer RNA is filed under the name Brassica napus (rape). It matches the Rfam family "tRNA". Rfam says of the family: Transfer RNA (tRNA) molecules are approximately 80 nucleotides in length. Their secondary structure includes four short double-helical elements and three loops (D, anti-codon, and T loops). The record is from Rfam by way of RNAcentral. Lineage: Eukaryota; Viridiplantae; Streptophyta; Magnoliopsida; Brassicales; Brassicaceae.
GAAUUUAUGUUUAAAUCAAAAAUUUUGAUUAAAAAACAAAAAGCUUGGAUUCAAAUCCAACUAAAUUCC